This 490-nucleotide ribosomal RNA is filed under the name uncultured bacterium. RNAcentral's name for it is "partial 16S ribosomal RNA". It matches the Rfam family "Bacterial small subunit ribosomal RNA", at positions 28 to 507 of the family's 1533-position model. The record is from RNAcentral.
GAUGAACGCUAGCUACAGGCUUAACACAUGCAAGUCGCGGGGCAGCAUGGGGGUUGCUUGCAAUCCCCGAUGGCGACCGGCGCACGGGUGAGUAACGCGUAUCCAACCUGCCCUUCACCACGGGAUAACCCGGCGAAAGUCGGACUAAUACCGUAUGUUGUCCAUUGACGGCAUCCGAUUUGGACGAAAGGUUUGGCGGUGAAGGAUGGGGAUGCGUCCGAUUAGCUGGACGGCGGGGUGACGGCCCACCGUGGCGACGAUCGGUAGGGGUUCUGAGAGGAAGGUCCCCCACACUGGAACUGAGACACGGUCCAGACUCCUACGGGAGGCAGCAGUGAGGAAUAUUGGUCAAUGGGCGUAAGCCUGAACCAGCCAAGUAGCGUGCAGGAGGACGGCCAUAUGGGUUGUAAACUGCUUUUAUGCGGGGAUAAAGUGGCCCACGUGUGGGUUUUUGCAGGUACCGCAUGAAUAAGGACCGGCUAAUUCCGUG